UUGACCUCGGAUCAGGCAGGGAUACCCGCUGAACUUAAGCAUAUCAAUAAGCGGAGGGAGAAU
RNAcentral lists this ribosomal RNA (63 nucleotides) under uncultured fungus. RNAcentral describes it as "partial 28S ribosomal RNA". The record is from RNAcentral. Lineage: Eukaryota; Fungi.